RNAcentral lists this ribosomal RNA (496 nucleotides) under uncultured bacterium. RNAcentral describes it as "partial 16S ribosomal RNA". It matches the Rfam family "Bacterial small subunit ribosomal RNA", at positions 28 to 523 of the family's 1533-position model. The record is from RNAcentral.
GAUGAACGCUGGCGGCGUGCUUAACACAUGCAAGUCGAACGAAGCACCUUAUUCUGAUUUCUUCGGAAUGAAAAAUUUGGUGACUGAGUGGCGGACGGGUGAGUAACGCGUGGGUAACCUGCCUCAUACAGGGGGAUAACAGUUAGAAAUGACUGCUAAUACCGCAUAAGACCACAGCACCGCAUGGUGCAGUGGUAAAAACUCCGGUGGUAUGAGAUGGACCCGCGUCUGAUUAGGUAGUUGGUGGGGUAACGGCCUACCAAGCCGACGAUCAGUAGCCGACCUGAGAGGGCGACCGGCCACAUUGGGACUGAGACACGGCCCAAACUCCUACGGGAGGCAGCAGUGGGGAAUAUUGCACAAUGGGGAAACCCUGAUGCAGCGACGCCGCGUGGGCGAUGAAGUAUUUCGGUAUGUAAAGCUCUAUCAGCAGGGAAGAAAAUGACGGUACCUGACUAAGAAGCACCGGCUAAAUACGUGCCAGCAGCCGCGGUAA